Non-coding RNA from Cavia porcellus (domestic guinea pig), 1316 nucleotides. Lineage: Eukaryota; Metazoa; Chordata; Mammalia; Rodentia; Caviidae. The record is from the annotation of a RefSeq genome assembly.
CCAGAGAACAAGAGGAGAAGCUGAAUCUGGAAAGAUAAUGAACACUCAAUAGACACACAUGGUCAUGUGAGUGCAGGAAAACAUAUAUUCUGUGAGAUUACAAAUUUCCCUGUGAGGUAGCACAGAACUCACAUGCUUAUUUCCAUUUUUUUGCUCCUCUGCUCAGGUGGGACUCGGAUCCCAGGAUGUCUUAGAGUAGGAGGCAGGUGGACCUCUCCUGAAAACAAAAAUGACAGAGAAGCAAGCUCUCAAGCAGCAUGGAUGGAACUCUAGGAGAGAGACCAGGGAGACACAGAGGGAGCUGUGCUGCAGAUCUCACACAGAGAUCUGACAAUGAGCAUCAGAGCCUGGGUGGGAAGAAAGUUGGACUGGGGUACAGUAAGGGAGAAGGGCCAGGAGGAAUCCAUUCCUGGGAUCAGGAAGGUGUGGUCAUCAUUGCCCUGCUUCCACCACUCCUCUAAACUUAACUUCCCACUUAUCACAGACUCAAACCCAGCUGGAAUUCAGAACAGGAGGUUCCUCUCAGUAGCACAAAAGGAGCAGACAUAGCGUGGCAUCAAUGUCCCCUUCAUAUAGAAAGUGUGUACCCUAUAUGCAAAUAUAUGCUCUGAAUUCAGAUUCAUAACCUGCUCACAGUUUGUGGAACUCACAGCUCCAUCCCAAGACACGGUUGAGGUCUCCCAGGAGGGCAGAGGUGUGGAUGAAAGAUGAGACUUCUGGGUCUUCUCCUGUGCCUGGUGACAGCCCCUCAUGGUUUCCUGUGCCAGUUGCAGCUGCAGGAGUCAGGACCUGACCUGAUGAAGCCCUCACAGACACUGACCCUCACCUGCUUAGUCUCUGGCUACUCCAUCACCAGUGACAGUACUUGGAAAUGGAUCCGUCAGUCCCCAGGAAAGAGUCUGCAGUGGAUGGGGCAUAUUUGGUAUGAUGGUGAUACUAAGUAUAACCCGACUCUCCAGAGUCGCAUCUCCAUCUCCAGAGACACAGGCAAGAACCAGUUCUCCCUGAAGCUGAAUUCUGUCACCACAGAAGACACAGCCACCUAUUACUGUGGAAGACGCACAGUGAUUUCUUACAAUGGAUUCACCUUCAGUAGCUAUGACAUGAGCUGGAUACCCCAGGCUCCAGGGAAGGGGCUGGAGUGGAUCUCAUACAUCAGUACUGGUGGUAGGAUACACUAUGCAGACUCUGUGAAGGGCCGAUUCACCAUCUCCAGACACGACAGCAAGAACACGCUGUAUUUGCAGAUGACCAGCCUGAAAACCGAGGACACGGCGGUGUAUUAUUGUGCCAAACACACAGUGAGGGAACAUUAG